AGUGCACCUGAGGAUGCAGACCCAUCCUGGGAAUUAAGACUAUUGCCAGGGGAGGCAGCAUGGAUUGCUGGGGUUCUAUGCAAGAGGAGUACUUAUCCUAAAGGUCACUGCACAGCAACAGCGGAGAAGCAGUAGAAGGGAAAUUCAGCCGUGUUCUGUUGGAGCCCACAGCGUGCACUGAACCUCCUCAUUAGGUUCUUACAGGCUGGCCACAUCCACAUCUUUUCCUGCAACCCCAAUCCCUUAUGCUGAAGGCAAUUGAAGAGAAUUAUUCACUCCAAUAUUAAAUAAACUCCUGUCCAC
This is a long non-coding RNA of Cyanistes caeruleus (blue tit), 303 nucleotides long. RefSeq lists it as uncharacterized. NCBI's taxonomy places the organism in Eukaryota, Metazoa, Chordata, Aves, Passeriformes, Paridae. The record is from RefSeq and is a predicted model, not a curated record.